ACAGCUGUGGUUUCCCUGCUCUGCAGCACCUGGAGAGGGUGGGGCAGGGACGGCUCUCCUGAAUUCCAGUCGCUUGGGCCAUUUCUGGUGAGCUCCCUUCCAAAGAACCCAAGCCCAACCUGAAAGAUACCCAAGUCCAACUUGCAGGAGACAGUAAGGACCAGAAACCCAGUUGUUUCCUUCAUCCUUCUAGCUGUGUGUGGCUGUGUGCAGAGAAUUUUUCAGAGCAGGACCUCACUCCUGAAAUGUGUAUACCCUGAGUCCUCACAGAGGGUGUCUACAUGUGUCCCGCAUUUUCAUAAGGAUCACCCAGGCAGAGACAUAGGUCCUCUGGCUGCUCACAGUCACAGUGAUGGUGGCAAAGAUGUCCUCAGGGACCCCAGAAGCAAAAACUGCCAUCUUUCUAGAGGGGUGGAGAAGACUUCAAAGAAGAGUUCUGAAGGUCAUAAGUCCAGGAUCUGUCUCUCUGGGCUAAAACCAAAGCAUCAGCACUGCUGGGUCGCUGCCGUCUGCUAUGACAGCCUUACUCAACAUCAGCUGUACAAAAACAGGCCAGCGGCUGGACUUGGACCAUUACCUUCUGACCGUUGGGAUAGAGAAUGAGUAUUUUGAUGUGGGGGUUAGCCCUGACGUUCAGCCCUACUUUAUUUAUGUCAUGUACUGUGGAUUUCUGGAGACCAGAUCCAUGAAUCCUUUUUGAAUUCUGACAGGUAUUUAGAUCAUGAUCUUAAUGGUAUUGUUGCAAAUGGCAUAAUGUUUUGUAAAAAGAAUCUGUGAAUAACCAUGUUUGUGCUAUAAGCGUUAUGUAUUUCAAAAAUUGAUGUCUCAUAAAAACUUAAAAAAAGAAAAUAUUAAGCUUAAUAAAAGGAGCCAGACA
Long non-coding RNA from Sus scrofa (pig), 877 nucleotides. RefSeq lists it as uncharacterized. The record is from RefSeq and is a predicted model, not a curated record. NCBI's taxonomy places the organism in Eukaryota, Metazoa, Chordata, Mammalia, Artiodactyla, Suidae.